This 429-nucleotide ribosomal RNA is filed under the name Gemmatimonadota bacterium. Its description in RNAcentral is "Gemmatimonadetes bacterium partial 16S ribosomal RNA". It matches the Rfam family "Bacterial small subunit ribosomal RNA", at positions 355 to 776 of the family's 1533-position model. The record is from RNAcentral. Lineage: Bacteria; Pseudomonadati; Gemmatimonadota.
CAGGGAAUCUUCGGCAAUGGACGAAAGUCUGACCGAGCAACGCCGCGGGAGUGAAGAAGGUUUUCGGAUCGUAAAACUCUGUUGUUAGAGAAGAACAAGGACGUUAGUAACUGAACGUCCCCUGACGGUAUCUAACCAGAAAGCCACGGCUAACUACGUGCCAGCAGCCGCGGUAAUACGUAGGUGGCAAGCGUUGUCCGGCUUCAUUGGGCGUAAAGCGAGCGCAGGCGGUUUCUUAAGUCUGAUGUGAAAGGCCCCGGCUCAACCGGGGAGGGUCAUUGGAAACUGGGAGACUUGAGUGCAGAGGAGGAGGGUGUAAUUCGAUGAGUAGCGGUGAAAUGCGUAGAUGGAUGGAGGAACACCAGUGGCGAAGGCGGCUCUCUGGUCUGUAACUGACGCUGAGGGUCGAAAGCGUGGGGAGCAAACAGG